UUUCCGUAGGUGAACCUGCGGAAGGAUCAUUAUUGUAUAACCGAGGUGCGAGAGCUGUCGCUGACCCGAAAGGUCGUGCACGCCCGAGUGCCCUCACACACAUCCAUCUCACCCCUGUGUGCACCACCGCGUGGGUCCCCCUUUGGCUUGUUCGGAGGGGGGCUUACGUUUUCACACAAACUUUGUAUGCAGUGUAGAAUGUAUUUUUUGUUUUUGCGAUCACGCAAUCAAUACAACUUUCAACAACGGAUCUCUUGGCUCUC
RNAcentral lists this unclassified non-coding RNA (263 nucleotides) under plant metagenome. RNAcentral describes it as "partial contains small subunit ribosomal RNA, internal transcribed spacer 1, and 5.8S ribosomal RNA". The record is from RNAcentral.